RNAcentral lists this long non-coding RNA (214 nucleotides) under Capsicum annuum. RNAcentral's name for it is "long non-coding RNA (CANN_LNC012583)". The record is from RNAcentral. Lineage: Eukaryota; Viridiplantae; Streptophyta; Magnoliopsida; Solanales; Solanaceae.
CCAGAAACUUUUUACCGAUGAUCUUAUUCUGGCAACAAAUUUUUAAGAUCACAUUAACGAAAAUAGCAGCUUGCAGGCGUACCAGUGACAUCUAAAAUUUUAUUUAUUUAAGCCACUUCAUGCAGUUUUUUAUUUCUUUAUACUAUUUUAUUUCUAUUUUUCCUAUUUUUUGUUUCGGUUCUGUUUCCCUUUUCUGUGUCUUCUUCCUAUCUGG